CUGUGAGGAAUAUUGCACAAUGGGCGCAAGCCUGAUACAGCAACGCCGCGUGAGGGAUGACGGCCUUCGGGUUGUAAACCUCUUUUAGUAGGGAAGAAGCGAAAGUGACGGUACCUGCAGAAAAAGCACCGGCUAACUACGUGCCAGCAGCCGCGGUAAUACGUAGGGUGCGAGCGUUGUCCGGAAUUAUUGGGCGUAAAGAGCUCGUAAGCGGUCUGUCGCGUCUGCUGUGAAAACCCGAGGCUCAACCUCGGGCCUGCAGUGGGUACGGGCAGACUAGAGUGCGGUAGGGGAGAAUGGAAUUCCUGGUGUAGCGGUGGAAUGCGCAGAUAUCAGGAGGAACACCGAUGGCGAAGGCAGUUCUCUGGGCCGUAACUGACGCUGAGGAGCGAAAGCGUGGGGAGCGAACAGGAUUAGAUACCCUGGUAGUCCACGCCGUAAACGUUGGGCGCUAGAUGUGGGGACCAUUCCACGGUUUCCGUGUCGCAGCUAACGCAUUAAGCGCCCCGCCUGGGGAGUACGGCCGCAAGGCUAAAACUCAAAGGAAUUGACGGGGGCCCGCACAAGCGGCGGA
This 574-nucleotide ribosomal RNA is filed under the name Leifsonia sp. Its description in RNAcentral is "bacterial SSU rRNA". It matches the Rfam family "Bacterial small subunit ribosomal RNA", at positions 352 to 936 of the family's 1533-position model. Lineage: Bacteria; Bacillati; Actinomycetota; Actinomycetes; Micrococcales; Microbacteriaceae. The record is from RNAcentral.